This 2904-nucleotide ribosomal RNA is filed under the name Escherichia coli O68:H12. Its description in RNAcentral is "23S ribosomal RNA". It matches the Rfam family "Bacterial large subunit ribosomal RNA". The record is from RNAcentral. Lineage: Bacteria; Pseudomonadati; Pseudomonadota; Gammaproteobacteria; Enterobacterales; Enterobacteriaceae.
GGUUAAGCGACUAAGCGUACACGGUGGAUGCCCUGGCAGUCAGAGGCGAUGAAGGACGUGCUAAUCUGCGAUAAGCGUCGGUAAGGUGAUAUGAACCGUUAUAACCGGCGAUUUCCGAAUGGGGAAACCCAGUGUGUUUCGACACACUAUCAUUAACUGAAUCCAUAGGUUAAUGAGGCGAACCGGGGGAACUGAAACAUCUAAGUACCCCGAGGAAAAGAAAUCAACCGAGAUUCCCCCAGUAGCGGCGAGCGAACGGGGAGCAGCCCAGAGCCUGAAUCAGUGUGUGUGUUAGUGGAAGCGUCUGGAAAGGCGCGCGAUACAGGGUGACAGCCCCGUACACAAAAAUGCACAUGCUGUGAGCUCGAUGAGUAGGGCGGGACACGUGGUAUCCUGUCUGAAUAUGGGGGGACCAUCCUCCAAGGCUAAAUACUCCUGACUGACCGAUAGUGAACCAGUACCGUGAGGGAAAGGCGAAAAGAACCCCGGCGAGGGGAGUGAAAAAGAACCUGAAACCGUGUACGUACAAGCAGUGGGAGCACGCUUAGGCGUGUGACUGCGUACCUUUUGUAUAAUGGGUCAGCGACUUAUAUUCUGUAGCAAGGUUAACCGAAUAGGGGAGCCGAAGGGAAACCGAGUCUUAACUGGGCGUUAAGUUGCAGGGUAUAGACCCGAAACCCGGUGAUCUAGCCAUGGGCAGGUUGAAGGUUGGGUAACACUAACUGGAGGACCGAACCGACUAAUGUUGAAAAAUUAGCGGAUGACUUGUGGCUGGGGGUGAAAGGCCAAUCAAACCGGGAGAUAGCUGGUUCUCCCCGAAAGCUAUUUAGGUAGCGCCUCGUGAAUUCAUCUCCGGGGGUAGAGCACUGUUUCGGCAAGGGGGUCAUCCCGACUUACCAACCCGAUGCAAACUGCGAAUACCGGAGAAUGUUAUCACGGGAGACACACGGCGGGUGCUAACGUCCGUCGUGAAGAGGGAAACAACCCAGACCGCCAGCUAAGGUCCCAAAGUCAUGGUUAAGUGGGAAACGAUGUGGGAAGGCCCAGACAGCCAGGAUGUUGGCUUAGAAGCAGCCAUCAUUUAAAGAAAGCGUAAUAGCUCACUGGUCGAGUCGGCCUGCGCGGAAGAUGUAACGGGGCUAAACCAUGCACCGAAGCUGCGGCAGCGACGCUUAUGCGUUGUUGGGUAGGGGAGCGUUCUGUAAGCCUGUGAAGGUGUGCUGUGAGGCAUGCUGGAGGUAUCAGAAGUGCGAAUGCUGACAUAAGUAACGAUAAAGCGGGUGAAAAGCCCGCUCGCCGGAAGACCAAGGGUUCCUGUCCAACGUUAAUCGGGGCAGGGUGAGUCGACCCCUAAGGCGAGGCCGAAAGGCGUAGUCGAUGGGAAACAGGUUAAUAUUCCUGUACUUGGUGUUACUGCGAAGGGGGGACGGAGAAGGCUAUGUUGGCCGGGCGACGGUUGUCCCGGUUUAAGCGUGUAGGCUGGUUUUCCAGGCAAAUCCGGAAAAUCAAGGCUGAGGCGUGAUGACGAGGCACUACGGUGCUGAAGCAACAAAUGCCCUGCUUCCAGGAAAAGCCUCUAAGCAUCAGGUAACAUCAAAUCGUACCCCAAACCGACACAGGUGGUCAGGUAGAGAAUACCAAGGCGCUUGAGAGAACUCGGGUGAAGGAACUAGGCAAAAUGGUGCCGUAACUUCGGGAGAAGGCACGCUGAUAUGUAGGUGAAGUCCCUCGCGGAUGGAGCUGAAAUCAGUCGAAGAUACCAGCUGGCUGCAACUGUUUAUUAAAAACACAGCACUGUGCAAACACGAAAGUGGACGUAUACGGUGUGACGCCUGCCCGGUGCCGGAAGGUUAAUUGAUGGGGUCAGCGCAAGCGAAGCUCUUGAUCGAAGCCCCGGUAAACGGCGGCCGUAACUAUAACGGUCCUAAGGUAGCGAAAUUCCUUGUCGGGUAAGUUCCGACCUGCACGAAUGGCGUAAUGAUGGCCAGGCUGUCUCCACCCGAGACUCAGUGAAAUUGAACUCGCUGUGAAGAUGCAGUGUACCCGCGGCAAGACGGAAAGACCCCGUGAACCUUUACUAUAGCUUGACACUGAACAUUGAGCCUUGAUGUGUAGGAUAGGUGGGAGGCUUAGAAGUGUGGACGCCAGUCUGCAUGGAGCCGACCUUGAAAUACCACCCUUUAAUGUUUGAUGUUCUAACGUUGACCCGUGAUCCGGGUUGCGGACAGUGUCUGGUGGGUAGUUUGACUGGGGCGGUCUCCUCCUAAAGAGUAACGGAGGAGCACGAAGGUUGGCUAAUCCUGGUCGGACAUCAGGAGGUUAGUGCAAUGGCAUAAGCCAGCUUGACUGCGAGCGUGACGGCGCGAGCAGGUGCGAAAGCAGGUCAUAGUGAUCCGGUGGUUCUGAAUGGAAGGGCCAUCGCUCAACGGAUAAAAGGUACUCCGGGGAUAACAGGCUGAUACCGCCCAAGAGUUCAUAUCGACGGCGGUGUUUGGCACCUCGAUGUCGGCUCAUCACAUCCUGGGGCUGAAGUAGGUCCCAAGGGUAUGGCUGUUCGCCAUUUAAAGUGGUACGCGAGCUGGGUUUAGAACGUCGUGAGACAGUUCGGUCCCUAUCUGCCGUGGGCGCUGGAGAACUGAGGGGGGCUGCUCCUAGUACGAGAGGACCGGAGUGGACGCAUCACUGGUGUUCGGGUUGUCAUGCCAAUGGCACUGCCCGGUAGCUAAAUGCGGAAGAGAUAAGUGCUGAAAGCAUCUAAGCACGAAACUUGCCCCGAGAUGAGUUCUCCCUGACCCUUUAAGGGUCCUGAAGGAACGUUGAAGACGACGACGUUGAUAGGCCGGGUGUGUAAGCGCAGCGAUGCGUUGAGCUAACCGGUACUAAUGAACCGUGAGGCUUAACCUU